AUUUAUUCUGUAAUGGUAUAAUAUAAAGGCUGGGAUGAAGGAAAAAUGCAUUUAUUAAGCAACUAAUGUGUACCAGACACUCUACUAAGUGUUUUUACAAAUAUUACCUUGAGAUACCCUAGAAAGCAGUUAAUAUUAUUAUCCUCAUUUUAUAGUUGAGGAAAUAGAGGCAAAUAGGGUUUGUGACUUUCCCAGGGUUACACAGCUAAUAAGUAACUAAGACUGGAUUGGAAUCCAGGUAAUUCUAAUUCUCUCUCUCCAGUGUUCUACUGUACUACCAGCUACCUAGAUACACUGAGUGUUGGGGAAGUAAAUAUAUAAUUAAAAAAUAGUUUGCGAGGCAGCUAUGUGAUUGAGUGGACAGAGAGCCAGGCUCAGAGAUGGAAGGUCCAGUACUCAAUCUACUGUCCCUUGUGUGUAUAUUUCAAGCUCUUCAGAUACUUCCCAGAUGUGUGAUCCUGGGGAAUGAACCUGUCAAUCACUUGCUGAGAUAUACGGCCCGUAUCAGAAGUGGGCACUACCAUGUGUUUGGAUGAUGGAGCUAAACUGUCAUAGGAGAAAGAAGAACAAUAUCCUCUUCAAUUUCAGACAAUCUUUGAAAUAAGGCAUCACCUUUUUAUUGGGCAGGGAGAAAAUAUUUCGUAAAGUAGCGUAACAUCUGUUUCUCCCUUGCUAUUCAGCUAGAGUUG
Molecule: long non-coding RNA, 689 nt
Filed under: Monodelphis domestica (gray short-tailed opossum)
Lineage: Eukaryota; Metazoa; Chordata; Mammalia; Didelphimorphia; Didelphidae
Description: lncRNA (ENSMODG00000038273.1)
Source: RNAcentral